UCCGGGUGCAGUAGUCUACACCUGUAAUCCCAGCAGCUCUGGAGGCUGAGGCAGGAGGAUCAAGAGUUCCAAGCCAGUCUCAGCAACUUGGUGAGGCCCUAAGCAAUUCAAUGAGACCCUGUCUCUA
RNAcentral lists this small RNA (127 nucleotides) under Marmota monax (woodchuck). The record is from RNAcentral. Lineage: Eukaryota; Metazoa; Chordata; Mammalia; Rodentia; Sciuridae.